RNAcentral lists this ribosomal RNA (527 nucleotides) under uncultured bacterium. RNAcentral describes it as "bacterial SSU rRNA". It matches the Rfam family "Bacterial small subunit ribosomal RNA", at positions 984 to 1509 of the family's 1533-position model. The record is from RNAcentral.
ACAUCCAGAGAAUUUAGCAGAGAUGCUUUAGUGCCUUCGGGAACUCUGAGACAGGUGCUGCAUGGCUGUCGUCAGCUCGUGUUGUGAAAUGUUGGGUUAAGUCCCGCAACGAGCGCAACCCUUAUCCUUUGUUGCCAGCACGUAAUGGUGGGAACUCAAAGGAGACUGCCGGUGAUAAACCGGAGGAAGGUGGGGAUGACGUCAAGUCAUCAUGGCCCUUACGAGUAGGGCUACACACGUGCUACAAUGGCGCAUACAAAGAGAAGCGGACCUCGCGAGAGCAAGCGGACCUCAUAAAGUGCGUCGUAGUCCGGAUUGGAGUCUGCAACUCGACUCCAUGAAGUCGGAAUCGCUAGUAAUCGUAAAUCAGAAUGUUACGGUGAAUACGUUCCCGGGCCUUGUACACACCGCCCGUCACACCAUGGGAGUGGGUUGCAAAAGAAGUAGAUAGCUUAACCUUCGGGAGGGCGUUUACCACUUUGUGAUUCAUGACUGGGGUGAAGUCGUAACAAGGUAAGCGUAGUGCU